CCUACGGGUGGCAGCAGUAGGGAAUUUUUCACAAUGGGCGAAAGCCUGAUGGAGCAACGCCGCGUGCAGGAUGAAGGUCUUCGGGUUGUAAACUGCUUUUAUAAGCGAGAAAAAUGAUGGUAACUUAUGAAUAAGGAUCGGCUAACUACGUGCCAGCAGCCGAGGUCAUACGUAGGAUCCGAGCAUGAUCCGGAGUGACUGGGGGUAAAGAGUUGCGUAGGUGGCAUAAUAAGUAGUUAGUGAAAUCUGGUGGCUCAACCAUUCAGCCUAUUGGCUAAACUGUUAAGCUCGAGACCGUGAGAGGUAACUGGAAUGUCUGGUGUAGGGGUGAAAUCCGUAGAUAUU
RNAcentral lists this ribosomal RNA (345 nucleotides) under uncultured bacterium. Its description in RNAcentral is "partial 16S ribosomal RNA". It matches the Rfam family "Bacterial small subunit ribosomal RNA", at positions 338 to 698 of the family's 1533-position model. The record is from RNAcentral.